RNAcentral lists this long non-coding RNA (3290 nucleotides) under Homo sapiens (human). RNAcentral describes it as "novel transcript". The record is from RNAcentral. Lineage: Eukaryota; Metazoa; Chordata; Mammalia; Primates; Hominidae.
AGGGGCCGGGGCGCUGCUUCCUGUUGUCAGUGGCCGAGAGACCGCAUCGUCGGCUCGGAGGCUGAGGGGCUGCCGCAGCCGGGAGCCCCCCUCGCCUCGCUCCUCGCUCCGCUUGGUGUCAUGUGAUUCUCUGAGGGAGCAGCUGCGUGAGUGGAGAUGCUUUCAGUGGUGGAGAAUGGACUGGACCCCCAGGCUGCCAUCCCGGUCAUCAAGAAGAAGCUGGUGGGAUCCGUGAAAGCCUUGCAAAAGCAGUACGUGUCCCUGGACAUGGUGGUCACUAGUGAAGACGGAGAUGCCAACACCAUGUGCAGCGCCCUGGAGGCCGUAUUUAUCCAUGGCCUGCACACCAAGCACAUCCGAGCUGAGGCCGGAGGAAAAAGGAAGAAAAGUGCCCACCAGAAGCCUCUGCCCCAGCCUGUCUUCUGGCCCCUCCUGAAAGCUGUCACCCCCAAACACAUCAUCUCAGAGUUGGAGCACCUGACGUUUGUCAACAUGGAUGUGGGCCGCUGCCGGGCAUGGCUGCGGCUGGCCCUGAACAAUGGCCUGAUGGAGUGCUACCUGAAGCUGCUGCUGCAGGAGCAGGCCCGCUUGCAACUACAGCGGAAGGAAUCUCUGGAUUCCAUUUCCCAUUCUUCAGGCUCUGAAGACAUCGAAGUCCAUCACUCGGGCCAUAAGAUACGGAGGAACCAGAAGCCGACUGCCUCCUCCCUCAGCCUGGACACGGCCAGUUCAUCCCAGCUGUCCUGCAGCCUAAACUCUGAUAGCUGCUUACUCCAAGAGAAUGGCUCCAAGAGUCCAGACCAUUGCGAGGAGCCCAUGUCCUAUGACUCAGACCUGGGCACAGCAAAUGCUGAGGACUCAGACCAGUCUCUGCAAGAAAAAACAAGAGCUGGAUCUCAGAGGAUGACUUCUACCGGCCUUCCCGGGAGCAACCCCUGAAGAGUGCUUCAGACCACCCAAUAGCUUCUUACAGGGGGACUCCAGAGUCAAGGCCUGGUCUCCACAGGCAUUUUUCUCAAGAACCAAGAAAAAACUGCUCCCUGGGGGCGUUAGACCAAGCGUGUGUACCUUCCCCAGGAAGAAGGCAAGCCCAGGCAGCCCCAUCCCAGGGGCAUAAGAGUUUCCAGGUGGUACACCGGAGGCAGAUGGGACUGUCCAACCCAUUCCAGGGUCUCAUGAAGCUGGGCACCGUGGAGCGGCAGGGGGCAAUGGGCAUCUGGAAGGAGCUCUUCUGCGAGCUCUCCCCACUGGAGUUCCGCCUCUACCUGAGCAACGAGGAGCACACCUGUGUGGAGAACUGCUCCCUGCUUCGCUGUGAGUCUGUGGGGCCAGCCCACAGUGACGGGCGCUUUGAGCUGGUCUUCUCUGGCAAGAAGCUGGCCCUGCGCGCCUCCUCCCAGGACGAAGCUGAGGACUGGCUGGACCUGGUGCGGGAGGCCCUGCAGAAGGUCCGGCCUCAGCAGGAGGAUGAGUGGGUGAACGUGCAGUACUCAGACCAGCCUGAGGAACCCCCCGAGGCGCCCCAGGGCUGCCUCUCUCCCUCAGACCUGCUCUCGGAGCCCGCGGCCCUCCAGGGCACACAGUCUGACUGGUCGUCCGCCCAGGUUCCAGAGCUAGAUGCCAUCAAGGAGUCCCUGCUGUACUUGUACAUGGACAGGACCUGGAUGCCCUAUAUAUUUUCUCUGCCCUUGGAGGCUCUGAAAUGUUUCCGCAUCAGGAACAAUGAGAAGAUGCUGAGUGACAGCCACGGCGUGGAGACCAUCCGGGACAUCCUGCCAGACACCAGCCUUGGGGGCCCAUCCUUCUUCAAAAUCAUCACGGCCAAGGCUGUCCUGAAGCUGCAGGCCGGAAACGCCGAGGAAGCCGCCCUGUGGAGGGAUCUGGUCCGCAAAGUCCUGGCAUCCUACUUGGAGACAGCCGAGGAGGCGGUGACCCUGGGCGGGAGCCUGGAUGAAAACUGUCAGGAGGUGCUGAAAUUUGCCACCCGGGAGAAUGGCUUCCUGCUGCAGUACCUGGUGGCCAUCCCCAUGGAGAAAGGCCUUGACUCCCAAGGCUGCUUCUGCGCAGGCUGCUCCCGGCAGAUCGGCUUCUCCUUUGUACGACCCAAGCUCUGUGCCUUCUCUGGCCUCUAUUACUGUGACAUCUGCCACCAAGACGAUGCCUCAGUGAUUCCGGCCAGGAUCAUCCACAACUGGGACCUCACCAAGCGCCCGAUCUGCAGGCAGGCCCUGAAGUUUCUGACGCAGAUCCGGGCCCAGCCCCUCAUCAACCUGCAGAUGGUGAACGCGUCUCUGUACGAGCAUGUGGAGCGGAUGCACCUCAUUGGGAGGAGCCGGGAGCAGCUGAAGCUCCUGGGGGAUUACCUGGGCCUGUGCCGGAGUGGCGCCCUGAAGGAGCUCAGCAAGAGGCUCAACCACCGGAAUUAUCUCUUGGAGUCUCCGCAUAGGUUCCGUGUUGCUGACCUCCGGCAGGUGAGAGUGUCAUGCCUACCCCGCCCAGAACUCUAGAAAGACUUCAUUCCUGGAGAAGUCAGCAAGGAAGAUGGGAGAGAGGGUGUCUGUAGUUUACUGAAGAAGACAGCAGUCUGCAGCUUUUCUGCAGCUCAGGAUCGCAGAUGAGGUAUAUGAAGGAUUCCUCAAGGCCCUGAUUGAAUUUGCCUCCCAGCAUGUCUACCACUGCGACCUGUGCACCCAGCGCAGCUUCAUCUGCCAGAUCUGCCAGCACCACGACAUCAUCUUCCCCUCUGAGUUUGACACCACAGUCAGGUGUGCCAAGUGCAAGACCGUCUUCCACCAGAGCUGCCAGGCUGUGGUGAAGAAGGGCUGCCCCCGCUGUGCUCGCUGACGCAAGUACCAGCAACAGAACGUUUUCGCCUGAUGCCCCUCUGCUGAUCCCACUCUGAAGGCCGGGGGUGAGUGUGGCUCAGCCAUCCCAGCUGGGUUUCCUAUCAGCCCAGGAUACUCACCGUGUCACAGCUGUGUCCCCUUGUCAGGAAGACCUCAGAUGUGACCAGAGCACUGGCCUCCUACAGAAAGCCCAGGAAGUCCCCAUGAUGUCCCCUGGCCCUCCCCCCACCCCUCUGCUGCAGGAGGCGUGGCCACCACCAGAUGCUCCCUGUCUGGGGCAGGCAGGGCCGUUUACUCACCAGGCCCUGGCUCACCAGCGUCCCGGCGCCUCCGUUAGGGCUGGCCAAACACUGUGGAAAGGGGACUUGGGGAACAUUUUCAAUUCCACAUUCCUGAUUAAAAGGUCUGGUUUUUUAAGGUGGGUUUUUCCCAUUCAUAUUUCAA